ACGACCAUACCCACUGGAGAACUCGGGAUCCCGUCCGCUCUCCCAUAGAUAAGCCAGUGAGGGCCGGAUCAGUAGUUGGGUCGGUGACGACCAGCGAAUACCUGGUGUUGUAUGUU
Molecule: ribosomal RNA, 116 nt
Filed under: Colletotrichum higginsianum
Lineage: Eukaryota; Fungi; Ascomycota; Sordariomycetes; Glomerellales; Glomerellaceae
Also listed under: 1 other name
Source: RNAcentral